Molecule: ribosomal RNA, 484 nt
Filed under: uncultured bacterium
Lineage: Bacteria
Description: partial 16S ribosomal RNA
Rfam family: Bacterial small subunit ribosomal RNA
Source: RNAcentral
AUUGAACGCUGGCGGCAGGCCUAACACAUGCAAGUCGAGCGGAUGAAGGGAGCUUGCUCCUGGAUUCAGCGGCGGACGGGUGAGUAAUGCCUAGGAAUCUGCCUGGUAGUGGGGGAUAACGUCCGGAAACGGGCGCUAAUACCGCAUACGUCCUGAGGGAGACAGUGGGGGAUCUUCGGACCUCACGCUAUCACAUGAGCCUAGGUCGGAUUAGCUAGUUGGUGGGGUAAAGGCCUACCAAGGCGACGAUCCGUAACUGGUCUGAGAGGAUGAUCAGUCACACUGGAACUGAGACACGGGCCAUACUCCUACGGGAGGCAGCAGUGGGGAAUAUUGGACAAUGGGCGAAAGCCUGAUCCAGCCAUGCCGCGUGUGUGAAGAAGGUCUUCGGAUUGUAAAGCACUUUAAGUUGGGAGGAAGGGCAGUAAGUUAAUACCUUGCUGUUUUGACGUUACCAACAGAAUAAGCACCGGCUAACUUCGUG